GCCCGGGUGGUGGAAUUGGCAGACACGCAAGAUUCAGGUUCUUGUGACCGCAAGGUUGUAGGAGUUCGACUCUCCUCCCGGGCA
Molecule: transfer RNA, 84 nt
Filed under: Fibrobacterota bacterium
Lineage: Bacteria; Pseudomonadati; Fibrobacterota
Description: tRNA-Leu
Rfam family: tRNA
About the family: Transfer RNA (tRNA) molecules are approximately 80 nucleotides in length. Their secondary structure includes four short double-helical elements and three loops (D, anti-codon, and T loops).
Source: RNAcentral